Molecule: ribosomal RNA, 253 nt
Filed under: uncultured bacterium
Lineage: Bacteria
Description: partial 16S ribosomal RNA
Rfam family: Bacterial small subunit ribosomal RNA
Source: RNAcentral
UACGUAGGUGGCAAGCGUUGUCCGGAUUUACUGGGCGUAAAGAGCGCGCAGGCGGUCGUUCAAGUCGCGUGUGAAAGCCCCCGGCUCAACUCGGAAAGGUCAACUGAUACUGUGCGACUAGAGUGCAGAAGGGGCAACUGGAAUUCUCGGUGUAGCGGUGAAAUUCGUAGAUAUUCGCAAGAACACCAGUGGCGAACGCGGCUCACUGGCCCGAUACUGACGCUGAGGCACGAAAGCGUGGGGAGCAAACAGG